Molecule: long non-coding RNA, 1190 nt
Filed under: Nicotiana tabacum (common tobacco)
Lineage: Eukaryota; Viridiplantae; Streptophyta; Magnoliopsida; Solanales; Solanaceae
Description: long non-coding RNA (NTAB_LNC015049)
Source: RNAcentral
AAAUAUGCAAUUUGAAUCGUUAGCUCUAGAAUAAAGAGAAUCAUAAAGUAAAUUGCUAGCAUUUUACAUAACACUCUUCUGAAUAAAAAAGGCCGACAUCUCUUCUCAGCCAAACAUUGUACAAAAUUGUGUCAAAGAGGUUAACCAAUACAUUAGCAAUAUAAUCAGUGAACUGACUUUUAAACACGUUACAGCAAAACGAAAUUUCACAGUUGGCCUACCUUGAUUCCAAGCUCAAAAAUCACAUUUAGAAACUUCCAAUUCAAAGCUAAAAACAUCAAACCACAUAGCAGACUGAAACAACAAGUUGGAUAAUCCUACCAUACAAACUAUGCCCUUUUUUUUUUCUUGUGAAACCUCAGUCCAUAAUGAAUUCAACGUAUCAGUACCUCAGAGCAGCAGAUUCUCUGAUCGCCUCAUCAAGCACUUCUAGCUUAUUAAAAGUGUUAUUACAUGGCAGAGUCACAACAAUCUCUCUAGAAAGUAUGAGAGAAAUGUUUCCUGGAUGUUGUAGCCUGCAGCUUCUCCUUUGCAGAUCAUUCGGCACUUGAGAUUGUGCUAGAGUGGCAAAGGGGCAUCACUUGCCGGCAAAGAAGUCCACGGGACACUUGGGAGUUGGGACAUAUAUUAACUUUGGGAAGAAGUGAAACUGACCGUAGUGAAGCAACGGCAAGGCUUUGAAGCCAAGCAAGUAGCUACUUGAAAGAAGUUAGCAGAAGUGGAGAAAAGAAAGCACAAUUGGCCAUUGCCCUCUCAAUCAAGGAGCUGAUCGAAUUCCUUGACCUCAUGUUCUAUUACAGAAGACUUGAUUGAAGUUAUGGACUGGUCAGCAGGCCCCUUACUGUUCCUACUGAAGAAGGGAUGUUUCUGCACGGAUCCCAUGAAGCCGCCACUGUAUUCCUAGACCUCAAAAAGGCCAUGAUAUAGGCACAACUCCGGAUUUUACCAAAACCUCUAUUGUAAAAGUGCAUAACAAAAAGUAAAAGGACGCAUAAUGUGGUGAUGCAAAAAGGGAAACCUAUUACAUUUCCUUGUCAAGCACUUAGCAUCAAACAUCAAGGUCUCCCGACCUAUGGAGAAGAGCUCAUAGACCUCUCACUAGCUGUAAUAAAAUGUAGACAACAUGUACACCUGUUUCAUUUUAUCAUCAAGAUUGAUCAUUUCAGCUUAAAGUAUCUAAGGACGCAAAC